RNAcentral lists this long non-coding RNA (269 nucleotides) under Suricata suricatta (meerkat). RNAcentral describes it as "lncRNA (ENSSSUG00005009214.1)". Lineage: Eukaryota; Metazoa; Chordata; Mammalia; Carnivora; Herpestidae. The record is from RNAcentral.
CUGAAAUAAUAAGCAGGCAAACUGAAGAGGGCCAAAGAACCAAUACAGGGUAUCUGAUUCAUGAUUUUACAAAGGUCUUCGAAUGUCCUGCUUGAAAACUGUCUGCCCACUUGAGAUUUUCCACAAGUCUUCCCAAACCACCAUAAAUGGAAAGGAUGAAAUACAGAAGAAGAACAAUUCCACUGUUAUUACUUUUAUUGUUUUUAUGGGCUUUGCACAGACAGUAUCAUGCUAGCACAAAGAAACUACUGAGGAUAUACCGGUGCUGG